This 1420-nucleotide unclassified non-coding RNA is filed under the name Hevea brasiliensis (rubber tree). The record is from RNAcentral. Lineage: Eukaryota; Viridiplantae; Streptophyta; Magnoliopsida; Malpighiales; Euphorbiaceae.
AUUUUCAUUUCUUAGAAGCUGAAAAACAUGAAUAAAAUUAUGAACACUUCACUUGUGACAAUCCAGAAAUGGAAGAUGAAGUAGCACUGUUAACUUCCACAUUUGCAGAUAAAGGUCAUUUUACAAUUGUGGGAAUGUGUAUCCCAUCCAUCAAUCAAACACAACAAUAUGCCCAAUAAAUUGAACCAAAUGCCAAAAAGGAGGCAGAACAAAGUUUUGCCAAUUCCUCAUAAUGCAAGUCGGAUCCGAAGGAAAGCACACCGAAAAAUAGUAAAGCCACACACACAGAUUUCAAAUUUUGGACGGGGUAUUCAGGCAUCUGGCACAGAAGCUGCAGCUCGUUUCAUUGAUGCAGACUUGAUAAGAUGAUUGUAGCUUCCUUUCUCCUUGAAAAGUUGGGAGAAAUGAUGUUUGCAAUACAAAACACCCUCAAGGGCUGCAUAAUUUGAUGGGGAUAUGGAACAGCCACCAUGAGAGCAUUUGAAACAUGACUUGUGAUAGGCCUGGCUCUCCACUGUUACCUUCUCAAGUGGAUAAGCAGUUUUACCACAAGUGGCACACUUUUCUUGCGUCCCAGAAAACAUGCCAGCAGCUUUACUAGGUGACCUUGUCUGAAACCAGAACAAUUUAUUGAGAAUCAAAUUCCAGGCAACAUAUCACAGCCCCAUGUGCAGAAAUACACUAAUCAUAGAUAAAUAUAUAUAAACAUAUUCAGUGUUUGAGUGAAUGUUUACCAGCUCAGGAGUCAACUUCUCAGCUGACUUUGCAGCUGUCGAAAAUGAAAUUAAUUGCAAUUAAACAAGUUACAACAAAAUUGAUUUUAGAAUUGAAUACAAAAAUUUAGCCUAGCAAAGGUAAGAGGCUUACGUGAUUGAAAAUUUUUGUUGAAAUUACCCGUCUCCUUGAACAGCUGCUCAAAGUGAGGCUUACAGUAGAGUACACCCUCCAUCGAGGAAUAAUUGCUUAGCUGAAUACAUAUGAUUCACAGAAUCCAAUAAGCUCAAAGACAGAUACUCUAUAUAUAAAUCAUCUUGUCAAAUCUGGGUAUAUAAUAUGAACAGUUCCCUAUAACAAAAUAUUGGUUCCAAAACUUGGAAAAUGCUAUCAACUCAAAUGUUGGUAAUGCCACUUAUCAAUGAUAAACUUUCUCCCUCAAGUUAAUCUCUCAAUGGUUUAUAGAGAUAUAAAAGAGAAAAAGAAAUAAGGUGUAAUCAGGAAUCACUAGCAUCCUAAACGGCAUAGGCUGAGAUCUUCAACAAACAAGCAACAAGUGCUUUCACGCAAUCAAUGUUAUUAAACACCCUAAAAGCUUAAUAGGCUACUUGGUCGACUUGGUUCUAGGAGUGUGUUGUUUUAUUUUGUUUGACGAAAUGAUCUUUCUAUUGAAAUUUUAUAUUUAAGAAAUUAUUUAUUUUAUAUU